UUGUACUGAGCCUUUGCCAAAAGACUGAGUGCCAACGAUGAUCGCUCGCUUGUGAUCUUGUAGGGCACCAGCAACAAUUUCAGAGGCAGAAGCAGAGCCUCCAUUGAUUAAUACGAUGAGGGGAAUAUUGCCUGCAAUAGUAGUUUCGGUUGCUGAAUAACUGAAAUCAGAUUCAGUCAUGCGACCUUCGGUAUAAACAAUUAAUCCAGUAUUUAAAAACGCAUCGGAAACUUCAACAGCGGCUUCUAAAACACCACCGGGGUUGUUACGUAA
RNAcentral lists this non-coding RNA (273 nucleotides) under uncultured Oleispira sp. The record is from RNAcentral. Lineage: Bacteria; Pseudomonadati; Pseudomonadota; Gammaproteobacteria; Oceanospirillales; Oceanospirillaceae.